This 895-nucleotide ribosomal RNA is filed under the name uncultured bacterium. Its description in RNAcentral is "bacterial SSU rRNA". It matches the Rfam family "Bacterial small subunit ribosomal RNA", at positions 11 to 915 of the family's 1533-position model. The record is from RNAcentral.
GUUUGAUCCUGGCUCAGGAUGAACGCUAGCGGCAGGCUUAAUACAUGCAAGUCGAGGGGUAUAGUAGCAAUACUAGAGACCGGCGCACGGGUGCGUAACGCGUAUGCAAUCUACCUUUCACAGAGGGAUAGCCCAGAGAAAUUUGGAUUAAUACCUCAUAGUAUUAUAGUAUGGCAUCAUAUUAUAAUUAAAGUCACAACGGUGAAAGAUGAGCAUGCGUCCCAUUAGUUAGUUGGUAAGGUAACGGCUUACCAAGACUACGAUGGGUAGGGGUCCUGAGAGGGAGAUCCCCCACACUGGUACUGAGACACGGACCAGACUCCUACGGGAGGCAGCAGUGAGGAAUAUUGGACAAUGGGCGCAAGCCUGAUCCAGCCAUGCCGCGUGCAGGAUGACGGUCCUAUGGAUUGUAAACUGCUUUUGCACAGGAAGAAACAACAUUACGUGUAAUGUCUUGACGGUACUGUGAGAAUAAGGAUCGGCUAACUCCGUGCCAGCAGCCGCGGUAAUACGGAGGAUCCAAGCGUUAUCCGGAAUCAUUGGGUUUAAAGGGUCCGUAGGCGGCUUUAUAAGUCAGUGGUGAAAUCUCCCCGCUCAACGGGGAAACGGCCAUUGAUACUGUAAGGCUUGAAUUAUUAGGAAGUAACUAGAAUAUGUAGUGUAGCGGUGAAAUGCUUAGAGAUUACAUGGAAUACCAAUUGCGAAGGCAGGUUACUACUAAUGGAUUGACGCUGAUGGACGAAAGCGUGGGUAGCGAACAGGAUUAGAUACCCUGGUAGUCCACGCCGUAAACGAUGGAUACUAGCUGUUGGGUGCAAACUCAGUGGCUAAGCGAAAGUGAUAAGUAUCCCACCUGGGGAGUACGUUCCAAGAAUGAAACUCAAAGGAAUUGACG